UAACACGUAAGUAACCUGCCCUUUAGUGGGGGAUAACGCUCCGAAAGGAUCGCUAAUACCGCAUAAGAUCUCUUUUUCGCAUGAUUUAGAGAUGAAAGAUUUAUUGCUAAAGGAUGGGCUUGCGUAUGAUUAGCUAGUUGGUAGGGUAAUGGCUUACCAAGGCUACGAUCAUUAGCUGGUCUGAGAGGAUGAUCAGCCACACUGGGACUGAGACACGGCCCAGACUCC
Molecule: ribosomal RNA, 228 nt
Filed under: uncultured bacterium
Lineage: Bacteria
Description: partial 16S ribosomal RNA
Rfam family: Bacterial small subunit ribosomal RNA
Source: RNAcentral